UGGGGAAUAUUGCGCAAUGGAGGAAACUCUGACGCAGCAACGCCGCGUGAGUGAAGAAGGUUUUCGGAUCGUAAAGCUCUGUCUUUGGGGACGAAUAAAAUGACGGUACCCAAGGAGGAAGCCCCGGCUAACUACGUGCCAGCAGCCGCGGUAAUACGUAGGGGGCAAGCGUUGUCCGGAAUUACUGGGCGUAAAGAGUACGUAGGCGGUUUGUUAAGUUAGAUGUGAAAGUUUGCAGCUCAACUGUAAAAGUGCAUUUAAAACUGGCAGACUUGAGUCUCGGAGAGGUAAGCGGAAUUCCUAGUGUAGCGGUGAAAUGCGUAGAGAUUAGGAAGAACACCGGUGGCGAAGGCGGCUUACUGGACGAGUACUGACGCUCAGGUACGAAAGCGUGGGGAGCAAACAGG
RNAcentral lists this ribosomal RNA (407 nucleotides) under uncultured bacterium. RNAcentral's name for it is "bacterial SSU rRNA". It matches the Rfam family "Bacterial small subunit ribosomal RNA", at positions 355 to 776 of the family's 1533-position model. The record is from RNAcentral.